UACGAAGGGGGCUAGCGUUAAUCGGAAUUACUGGGCGUAAAGCGUGCGUAGACGGUAGCGUAAGUCAGAUGUGAAAGCCCCGGGCUCAACCUGGGAAUUGCAUUUGAGACUGCUCUGCUCGGGUGCGGAAGAGGGAAGCGGAAUUUCCGGUUUAGCGGUGAAAUGCGUAGAUAUCGGAAGGAACACCAGUGGCGAAAGCGGCUUCCUGGUCCGACACCGACGUUCAGGCACGAAAGCGUGGGGAGCAAACAGG
This 253-nucleotide ribosomal RNA is filed under the name uncultured bacterium. RNAcentral describes it as "partial 16S ribosomal RNA". It matches the Rfam family "Bacterial small subunit ribosomal RNA", at positions 524 to 776 of the family's 1533-position model. The record is from RNAcentral.